This 148-nucleotide non-coding RNA is filed under the name Gorilla gorilla gorilla (western lowland gorilla). Lineage: Eukaryota; Metazoa; Chordata; Mammalia; Primates; Hominidae. The record is from Rfam by way of RNAcentral.
GCUGGGUGUGGUGGUGGGCGCCUGUAAUCCCAGCUACUUGGGAGGCUGAGACAGGAGAAUCGCUUGAACCCAGGAGGCGGAGGUUGCAGUGAGCUGAGAUUGCGCCAUUGCACUCCAGCCUGGGUGACAGAGCGAGACUCUGUCUCAA